UGUGCCAGCCGCCGCGGUAAUUCCAGCUCCAAUAGCGUAUAUUAAAGUUGUUGCAGUUAAAAAGCUCGUAGUUGAACCUUGGGCCUGGCUGGCCGGUCCGCCUCACCGCGUGUACUGGUCCGGCCGGGCCUUUCCUUCUGGAGAGCCCCAUGCCCUUCACUGGGCGUGCGGGGGAACCAGGACUUUUACUUUGAAAAAAUUAGAGUGUCCAAAGCAGGCCUUUGCUCGAAUACGUUAGCAUGGAAUAAUAGAAUAGGACGUGCGGUCCUAUUUUGUUGGUUUCUAGGACCGCCGUAAUGAUUAAUAGGGAUAGUCGGGGGCAUCAGUAUUCAAUUGUCAGAGGUGAAAUUCUUGGAUUUAUUGAAGACUAACUACUGCGAAAGCAUUUGCCAAGGAUGUUUUCAUUAAUCAGUGAACGAAAGUUAGGGGAUCGAAGACGAUCAGAUACCGUCGUAGUCUUAACCGUAAACUAUGCCGACUAGGGAUCGGGCGAUGUUUCUAUCUUGACUCGCUCGGCACCUUACGAGAAAUCAAAGUUUUUGGGUUCUGGGGGGGAGUAUGGGUCGCAAGGCUGAAACUUAAAGAAAUUGACGGAAGGGCACCACCCAGGCGUGGAGCCUGCGGCUUAAUUUGACUCAACACGGGGAAACUCACCAGUCCAGAUGAAAUAAGGAUUGACAGAUUGAGAGCUCUUUCUUGAUUUUUCCAGUGGUGUUGCAUGGCCGUUCUUAGUUGGUGGGAGGUGAUUUGUCUGCUUAAUUGCGAUACGACGAGACUUACUGCUAAUAGCAGGCUAGCUUUGGCUGGGUCGUCGGCUUCUUAAAGGACUAUCCGCUCAGCCCCAAUGGAAGUUUGAUG
This 858-nucleotide ribosomal RNA is filed under the name uncultured fungus. RNAcentral's name for it is "SSU rRNA". It matches the Rfam family "Eukaryotic small subunit ribosomal RNA", at positions 563 to 1450 of the family's 1831-position model. Lineage: Eukaryota; Fungi. The record is from RNAcentral.